RNAcentral lists this ribosomal RNA (1525 nucleotides) under Parabacteroides distasonis. RNAcentral's name for it is "bacterial SSU rRNA". It matches the Rfam family "Bacterial small subunit ribosomal RNA". Lineage: Bacteria; Pseudomonadati; Bacteroidota; Bacteroidia; Bacteroidales; Tannerellaceae. The record is from RNAcentral.
ACAACGAAGAGUUUGAUCCUGGCUCAGGAUGAACGCUAGCGACAGGCUUAACACAUGCAAGUCGAGGGGCAGCACAGGUAGCAAUACCGGGUGGCGACCGGCGCACGGGUGAGUAACGCGUAUGCAACUUGCCUAUCAGAGGGGGAUAACCCGGCGAAAGUCGGACUAAUACCGCAUGAAGCAGGGGCCCCGCAUGGGGAUAUUUGCUAAAGAUUCAUCGCUGAUAGAUAGGCAUGCGUUCCAUUAGGCAGUUGGCGGGGUAACGGCCCACCAAACCGACGAUGGAUAGGGGUUCUGAGAGGAAGGUCCCCCACAUUGGUACUGAGACACGGACCAAACUCCUACGGGAGGCAGCAGUGAGGAAUAUUGGUCAAUGGCCGAGAGGCUGAACCAGCCAAGUCGCGUGAGGGAUGAAGGUUCUAUGGAUCGUAAACCUCUUUUAUAAGGGAAUAAAGUGCGGGACGUGUCCCGUUUUGUAUGUACCUUAUGAAUAAGGAUCGGCUAACUCCGUGCCAGCAGCCGCGGUAAUACGGAGGAUCCGAGCGUUAUCCGGAUUUAUUGGGUUUAAAGGGUGCGUAGGCGGCCUUUUAAGUCAGCGGUGAAAGUCUGUGGCUCAACCAUAGAAUUGCCGUUGAAACUGGGGGGCUUGAGUAUGUUUGAGGCAGGCGGAAUGCGUGGUGUAGCGGUGAAAUGCAUAGAUAUCACGCAGAACCCCGAUUGCGAAGGCAGCCUGCCAAGCCAUUACUGACGCUGAUGCACGAAAGCGUGGGGAUCAAACAGGAUUAGAUACCCUGGUAGUCCACGCAGUAAACGAUGAUCACUAGCUGUUUGCGAUACACUGUAAGCGGCACAGCGAAAGCGUUAAGUGAUCCACCUGGGGAGUACGCCGGCAACGGUGAAACUCAAAGGAAUUGACGGGGGCCCGCACAAGCGGAGGAACAUGUGGUUUAAUUCGAUGAUACGCGAGGAACCUUACCCGGGUUUGAACGCAUUCGGACCGAGGUGGAAACACCUUUUCUAGCAAUAGCCGUUUGCGAGGUGCUGCAUGGUUGUCGUCAGCUCGUGCCGUGAGGUGUCGGCUUAAGUGCCAUAACGAGCGCAACCCUUGCCACUAGUUACUAACAGGUAAAGCUGAGGACUCUGGUGGGACUGCCAGCGUAAGCUGCGAGGAAGGCGGGGAUGACGUCAAAUCAGCACGGCCCUUACAUCCGGGGCGACACACGUGUUACAAUGGCGUGGACAAAGGGAGGCCACCUGGCGACAGGGAGCGAAUCCCCAAACCACGUCUCAGUUCGGAUCGGAGUCUGCAACCCGACUCCGUGAAGCUGGAUUCGCUAGUAAUCGCGCAUCAGCCAUGGCGCGGUGAAUACGUUCCCGGGCCUUGUACACACCGCCCGUCAAGCCAUGGGAGCCGGGGGUACCUGAAGUCCGUAACCGCGAGGAUCGGCCUAGGGUAAAACUGGUGACUGGGGCUAAGUCGUAACAAGGUAGCCGUACCGGAAGGUGCGGCUGGAACACCUCCUUU